CCCCCCCGCCUCGGCAGUCGAGGGGCAGAACCGGGCGGGAGGUUCUUCUUCCCCUGCCCAGCGCCUUCCACCCGGGGUUUUCGUUUUCAUUAAGUGCCACGUCCAUUCUGUCCUUGAACACCUCCCGGGAAUGUGACUGCACCACCUCCGUGGGCAGUCUAUUCCGAUGUUUAACCACGCUUUCUGUUAAGAAAUCCUUCCUAAUGUGCAACCUUAAGCUUCUCUUGAGGAGCUUGAGGCCAUGUCCUCUUGUCCUGUCGCUUGUUGCAUGGGAGAAGAGACAGAUACCCAGCUGGCUACUACCUCCUCUCAGGUAGUUGUAGAGAGCCAUAAAGCCCCCUGAACCUCCUUUUCUCCAGAUUAAACAACCCGAGCUCCCUCAGCUGCUCCUCGUAGGUCUUGUGCUCCAGACCCUUCACUAGCUCAGUUGCCCUUCUCUGGAUUUGCUCCAGCACCUCAAUGGCCUUCCUGAAUUGAGGGGCCUAGAACUGGACACAGGACUUGAGGUACAGCCUCACCACUGGGAAGAAUCACUUGCUUAGUCCUGCUGGUCACACUAUUCCUGAUCCAGGCCAGGAUGCCAUUGGCCUUGGCCACCUGGGCACACUGCUACCUCAUGUUCAGGAGGAUGGAGGUGGAUUUAGAUGUACUGCUGCCUUUGUGUUAUGGAAGUCUGAGCCAUACUCCUGCCACAGCUCUUGAGUCUCUCCUAGCUCUCCAAUGAGAGGAAGACCAAGGGGUGGUUUUGCUUGAACUAUAUGGCUGCCCUAUUUGGAUGGGCUCUGGGGUGACUCUCAUGUCAGUGUUUCAGGCCUUCUGUGGGAUGUGUGGAAGGGGCUUGUUUUCAAAUGACCACAUUUGUAUGGAUCCUGAGGUCCCUGCAUGUUCCUAUGGUGGUUUGUGUAUUUCAGCAUGUGAAGAUUUGAAGUAGCAUGUUGCCAGGAUGUAACUCUUGUAACUAGUCUGUCCAGUUUAAACACUUUCCAUUUUUGUUUUAAUAUCACUUGCCUUUGUCAGGCCUUGGGCAGCUUGUAGGCUGCUGAGAGGUCACUUUUCCCAUAAUCUUUCUUAGCAUGCCUCACCUCUUGGCUUCUUACACCUGCCUUUCAUGGAAGGUAGCCUAGAGGUGCCUGCUUAGAGCCUGCCUAGUCUGCUGAGGCUUCAGAUACCAACAAAUAGUUCAUCUUAGAUGGUAAUUCUGCAUCUUUGUAAAGAGAGAACUUCAGUAGAACUGUACUCGAUGGGAAAGGUCAUUCAUGGGGUUUCUCCAAGUGCUUGUUUGCAUUCUGUCACUUCAGCAAGUGAAAACUAACUGAGUAAAUUAAAAUCACUUGGGGGUCAUGUGCAUUGAUGGAAAUUAAUGCCAUUCAGUUCCAUCAGUGGUCAACAGCGAUCAUCCGAGGUCUUUUGUACAUUUUCUGAGCUUAUAGCUAAAAUGUGGUGUAAAAUGUAAACUGUCACAUAAAUGUAAAAUUUAUUGUAAAAUAUAGUUUGCUCUUCCUGUCACAGUAGGUCUUCCACCUCCAUCCUCUUGUGUGCACUUGCUUCUUGUUACAGUCUAGUUUGCAAAUCUCUUUAUGUGGCAGAUCUAUGCACUUAACUCCGGGACUUUCCAAAGAAGUGGGAAUGAAGGCAGGGCUUCUGUCCAGGCUCUUGUGCUUUAUGCCAAGCGAUGAAAACAGGGCCAUCACGGUUAUUCAGAGAGCAAAUUGAGUAAGAAUGCUUGCCGGAAGAGAUCUCUUCCUCUCUUGCUGCUUUAUGCUAUAUAAUGAUUUCUAGAACCAGGGUAAUCUUUAACUUGUCCAAAAUCUUAAACAUAAGAGCCAAACAAAAUAUUUACUGCCAUCCAGUCUGGGAAUAUCAUCCUUAUGAGGAGAAGGAACAUUGCUAUGCACAGUGAUGUAGUGAUGUCACAUUUUUAUGAGGGUUGGGUUUUUUUUUCCUUUAUAAAGUGACUUUUAUCCAAGUGGAAGGAGUUUGUCUGCAACAACAUAAUAGGAGAGUUUAUUCAAUGUCUUAAAAUAAAUGCAAUUUCUUCUGCUGGCCUCUUGUGAUUGAGAAGGCUAAAGGGGUGGCUUUCUUCAUGUCAUGGAAACCAACAGUUGAUAAGCACAGUGCUGGCUUAUCGUGGUAAAGAUAUGUAGACAAAGGGUUACUGGCUGUCCAAGAGUUUCUCCAUGUCGUGGGACUUUUGAAGCAGAUACUUCAGCAGCAGUGUGGCUUUUGGUCGGACAGGAAGAGGCCAGCAAUAUGGUGGUAGUUCAAAUACAGUAAGUACUCCACUUCCUUGCCUCACCUUUAAAGACACGCUGUCUCCAAAAGAAUUUAUGUGACACAUAAUUUAAUGUAAACAAGGAAGAUAAUUGCUUUCUUAAAAACCUGUACUCUCUGAAUUGAGUGAUUUGUGUCCUCUCCCGAGAUGUGGUUUGUUUUUUUUUUUGGUUGGUUGGUUGUUUUUUUUUCUUGUAUUUUCUACAACUGUUAGCAGUGCAAACCAUUGAGUCCCAAGGAGACAAACAAAGCAUGUGCCAGUUUGAGUUGAAGCCCAUAAUCUCUUUCCAAAUUUGGAAAUUUGACAUAUUUCUGAUUUCUUGCAGAUAAUUUUUGAAUGUGUUUAUUUCAUCAAGCCCUUGUGUUCAAGGGCGAAGAAAUAUAGCUUUGAAUAUUAUGUUCAUGUACACAAGAGAGAAAAGAAAAUUAUUUUCUUUCUGUAAGCCAGUUCAGCCAUGGUCUGUGAUUUGUCAGCACUGUGGAGGGUCAUCCAGUUUAGAUAGAACUGGACACUUCCAAGGAACAGAACAGGAUGUCACUGGCCAUUGAAGAAUUAGUCCUUUUCCUUUUGAAUAAAAAUUAAACCUGUGCUCCCAAGUGUGAGUCUGCUCAGGAGCAAAGAAGUAUCAUAUUUUAGAUUAGAAACUUAUGUCCCAAUUGCUUAUAGCCUCCAGAGAUUUUAUGGGACUGUUCUCAAAGAAAUUGUAUUCUCUUGUUUUAGAUGCUUUGGGAUUACACAUUGUAGACGUUCUGUAAGGCUCUGUUUUCUUUUCAUACUAAUUUGUGUUCUGUCCUUGUCUGAAAAUGGACUAUGUUUUGCCAUUUUUCUUAUAAUGUCUUACUAUUUUCUGCUUCCAGCUACAAAGAAACUUUUCUCGUCCUUUGGGCCUUUUCUGGUCUGCUGGAUGCUAAUGGAUGACAUGUAUAUCUGCUCCAGAGCCUUACCCAUGCAAAUAGCUUGUGAAGGCUGAGGCUGCUCCAACCAAACAUGAUUAAAAGUCAUAGGAAUAGAGAUGGAAAAAGCUAUUAGGUCAAGUAGUUCCCACACGCACCCCCUGAAUCAGUACAGGUUUGUUUCCAAUGAUACAUUUUUGGUGCUUUCCAGAAGGGGUCAGUGCAGGUCAGCGCUCGCUUUGAAUCCAACAGCCCUUCCCCCUUCUUGAAAAAUUAGGAAACCUGAAUCUAGUGACAAGUAGGUUGCAAAACGUCUAGAAUUUAUGUUAUAGCCUGUAAUUUGAUGUUGGGUGAUCAAAAGCAGAAGAAAUGUGUUCAAGUCCCACAACUUAUCAUCCAAGAUUUUAAAUGAGGAAAAUUACUGAGCUCUUCAGAAUUACUUGUUAGGUAUGUAUGUAUAUUAGAUGUUACAGAUCCUGAGAACUGUUCUGGGGAUGCUUAGUGGUAGUGAGAGUGACACGGAUUCACAGGUUUAUCCUGUUGGAUUGUCCAUACUUAGAAAGCACAUAUUACAAUAAUAUUUUGUAGUUACAUAAACAAAAGUCUGGAUAAUUAAAAUGAAAUUUCUGAUCAUAAAAGACCAAAAAAAGUGACAAAACCCCUCUUAAGUCUAAAUAAGGGAAGAGAAUAACAAUCAUGUUUCACCGAAAAUACAGUUCAUCCUAACCAACCGCUGACAUACAGGAACUUCCCUGAAGAUUGUCCAGUGUCACGAGUCUGUUGGGGCACAGAGGCUCCUGCAGGGUUCAUUGCACGCAUGUGAACCGAGUGUCCUGGUCAAGAGUGGUCACAUCUCAUCAACAGGAAAGCCUGGCCCCUUCCACACAACAACAGUGUACCCCAAAUGCCUGUGUCCAUGAAGAAGUGGCAGCUAGCUUCUGAAAUAGAGGAUGGAGAGAAUGGUAUUGAGACAAAAAUUAAUAAUUGGAAGUGGGGAGGGGGAUGAAAAGGUGGCUGGAGAUGGUAAGAAGGAAAUGCUGCAAAGAGAGCAGAGAGAGAUGGCACUCUGGUAGAGGAACGACCGACUCACUUGAAUAUAACUUGUUUAUAUUUUUAAGGUUUUCUUAUUUUCCCAGUGGAUAUGGCUAUUUUUCAAAGUAAAAUAACCAAGUAAUAAUUUCAUUACGUUUCCUUCCAAGAUUUCAAGCUAAGUGUAAACAAGAAAAAUCCAGUGGGAAAAUUAAUCCAACUUCCUUUUUCAAGAGCGCUUCAGUUCUGUUUCUCCCCUCACCACUCUCCUUAUGUAUUUUCAUUGCUACUGUUCUUAUACCCAGUAUCUGUGGCAUUGUUGACAUCAGCUGCAAUACCUCAGUGAUGGCAUUUAUCAGAGAGAGAAGCCUUUAGGAUCACUGAAAAGCACUUCUGAUACAGAAACGAUAAGUUCUGGGAUUUUCAGUUUUUAAAAAAUACUAAUGACUUUUGAUGCUUUGGGAAUGUUCCAUAUGGGCAAGUCAAAGUGAUGGAAAACAACUGAAGAACUUGCAUUGGAUUUAAUCUCUGGCAGUUAAUAUUUGGGCUGCAUGGGAGAAUCGUAAGGAACAAAAAUUCUGAAACAACACCAUGGCAAUCAGACAGGCAGACUUCCAAAGCUUUAAUUUUUCCAGAUGUUAAGUGCCUUGAUUUUCCAGCUCAGGUGAAGGAGAGACUUCAGAAAAACAGACAAUAAAAAUCAUUGGAUUUGUAAGGGUUGGUUGGCAUAAAGACCACUGCAUCGCUGAGUGUUCAGAUACCAGUGUGCUGAAACACAAGCAGUGCUAAUAUGCAUUAAAUGAAGUCAGAGGCUUUAUCUGGGACAUAAAUCAGGAUAUGUUUUAUAAGUUUUAAAAUACAUUUGUAUGUUUUUACAAUAAGAAUGCUGCAUCUUCAGGUGCUUCUAGGCUGCAUUUUAACAAAUGCCGAGUUUGCCUUCAAUAACAGACAUGCUUGUAAAAAUGGCGAGGAUGAGCAGGAGACUCAGAGUCCGCUGGUUCAUUCCCAUUAGGAGAGCCCUGGGGUGGUCUUUCACUGGGGAGCCAUGGAAGCCUGAAGCCAGCUGUCUGCAUCACUGUUCUGUGCUGUUGGCUGCAGAGCGUAGAGCCUUGACUCAGUUUCUCUUUUGUUGUCACCAAAGCUUGAGAUUUAUUAGAGAGGCCUUGGGACAACGUAGACAAAACCAGUCAUGUUCAGUCCUUCCUUCUGCCAAACUGAUGUAUCGCUGUAGAAACUGCUUUAUUGAGUAUUUAGUGUGGACAUCUGUAAGCUUCAUAUCCCUGUCUCUGAGUGCAGGAGGAUCCACAAGCUCAGCUAUCAAUCACUACAGUCAAGAGUUAUAUGAGACUGGCUGAGUGCAAAGCAGGCUCUACAGCCCCUUCCAGCCAGAGAUCAAACACCUAGACUUUUAGUGAAGUGGUAUUUUUUAACCAGGCAUAGAGUCAAGGCUGAAACAGUUUGCAGGAGAAAGUGCCAGCUGGGUUUAUACUUCGUGAAAAGAGUAGAGGCUCUGUUAUAAUGACAAACUUUGCAAUCCUCUUCUUGCUCAUCUUCCCAUUUUUCACUCCAUGAGAUUGGAGUGGGGGAAGCCCAUGCUGUGCUCUGAUGUUGGACCAUGAUGGGACGUGAUGGGGAGAUCUCCAGCAGGGUUUUACUCUUAUGGCUCCUCCAGCCAGAUGGCUUCAAUCUACUGACCAAUUCUCUGUGCUUUGUGUGAGGUCUGCAUGCAAUUUAAAUGGAGCCUGUUCUCAGCUAGUUUUGCCUUUUCUUUGCCCCCCUCCCCCACAUGCACAUAUAUUCCCAUCUGACCCUUUUCAUGCUUCCCCCUUUCUUUAGCCUUUCGGGGAAAUUGUGCUGGCACCAUACAACAAAUAUAUCAGCUGGACUCGCCUCAAAGUCCUUCAGUUUUGGAGGCUUUCAGUCAUCUAACUCCUCCGAGUAUUUCUGAGAAGAGUGCUCCCUUAGCCAACUGUGCUGUUGAUGUGGUUCUCAGAGUGGUAUUUCUUUGUGAUGCUGCUGUUUUCCAGCUGUUUAAUAGUUUAGAACAUGGCAUUUCAUGUACACACCUAUGUGUGCCACCACCGUCAGUCCCAGCAGAUUUUUCUAAUACACAAAGCACUGUUAUCUGAACUUCUAAUUAUCUUUGCAUUCUGCAAAUCUGGAAAAUAUGCAUUUGCUCUCUAGGUUAUUUUUUUUUAAAUUUUCCAAUAUUGUUCAGCGUGAAAAACCUCAAAUAUCAUGACAAAUAAAAGCAGGGAAUGCCCUUCUCACUGCAUUUUUAUCACUUAGCACUAAAAUUGCACUGAGUAAUAGACAAUAGGAGACAGUCUUAUUAGGCAGUCUUGUAAAGAGAAGACAGUAGAAGACAAUAGAAGAGUGAUAACCAUACAAGACAGUAGGACCUCUCUGUUUGUUUUGUUUAAGUCGUCAUCAAGCUUGCUUCCUGGACUGGCAUGUGGGAAAAAAGAUCAGGUGGGCUGGAGUGAUGAUUGUUGGUCUGUUAAAAUCAGUUUUACUUCAUCCCUAACUGUCUGUGCUUUCUGCUUUGCAGUCUUUUGUGCUGCAUUUUUAGUGAAUUCUUUACUUUUAUUAAUCAUUGAUCUGGAAGAGGCUUGGAGGCUUCUGGAAAACUAUAGUGUUGUCCUCCUUGCCAUCAGGUGAAAACACAAUAUACUUUUGCAUUUCCCUAUGGCUUCCUCUACGAGUUGUAGCUGGCUGGAUGCCUUAUCUGUUUAGAGACAGAUAAAGGAAAAAAGAAUUUCCCUUGGGGAAAGAAGGACAUGGUAGUAUUUUUUUGAUACUUUCCAAAUCUCCUGGUACAUUGGACUAUAGGAUCUACAUGGGUCAUGUUGUGCAGCUCAAAGAGCUGUUUCACUGAUGAGGAUUUCCAAAGUGCAGUGUGGUGCUUUUUGUAAUUUAAUUUCUGUCAGUUCUUUCCGGGAAAGGCAUUCUGUGUCUGUUUGUGUGAGUGACAAUGACAACCAAUUCCCAUUUUGAUAUCCGAGACAUGAAAAUAAAAUCCCUUCUUGAGCCCAAAGACACUUAUUUCUGGUACCCUGCAGAUCUAGUAUAUAAACAAGAAGGACUCUGCUUUUGUAUGUGUCCCCCCCAAAAACCCAGCAAAACAAAACUGUUAACUGUAAUCUCACUGAGUGAAUCAGAGAAGAACAUGAGCUUGGCAUGCAAUAAGAAAGCUUAGGCAGUACUCAGCAAAGAUGAAAGUGAUAUUGAUGACCAUAGUUUAAUUGGGUUUUCAUAAAACAUGCUGUUCUUCACAAUUUGGCUAAUGCUUGAUAGUUUCUUUUUAUGAGUCUGGCAAGGCAAUGAAACUUCAAACCAUUUGCUUUGCAACUGGAAAAAUGAACCAGAGAGAUAUUCAGAAGAGCACUAGGACUCUUUGUCUCUUGUAUUAAGGAAAAGCACUUCAGCAGCAAGGGAACGAGAACCUCCCGCAAUCACACAAGCACAGUUUAGCAGUAAAUCAGCUCAGCUGCAGUCCUCACCACAUGAUAUUCUGUAGUUGCCACUGGGGAGAAUUCUGCUCAUCUCCAGACAAGAUUGUGACUUGAGUUAAUAUUUAUUUCCGUUUUUACAGAUGUGCUGUCCAGUGAUGGAUGGGGUGUGUUAACCUUCUACUUUUUCACACCUGGUCCACACCUGUUUGGGAUCUCAUUCCCUGUCCUACUGGGCAGCAGCUCUUGAACUUUGUUGGAUCCUGGAUCUUGGGCCAACUGAGGGUGGUGAAAAGCUUUGAAACUCUUGGCCAAAGGGCUUUUUGUUUUUAAAGUCAGAGAGGUUGGUAGGUUUUGUUUUGUUCUUGAAUGAAUAUUCAUUCUCAUGACAGAAACAUUUCACAAUAAGCUGUUUUCAUUUGACAGCUCUUUGGCAGUACAUGUGUGAAAUAAAUUGGUUUUUUUGUAGUCCAGUUCCUAGUGGUCGAGAAUAUCCCUGUCUCAAAAAGGCUUUGGACUUUUGUUGCACUCAUUGACAGUUUAAUCAAAAAAGUUGUGGACUAAGUAUUCCUUAGAGUCUAAACUCUCUAGAGAACGUAGAAGUCCAUCCCCCAGCACACUGUGAAGAAUCUUGUCUUGCCUGUGCAGCUCUUUUUGAGUAAGAAGGGGACUUUGGACUCCAGGGCUGUGGAUUCAAUAGCAUGAAAUUCAAUACCAAAAUUUUAAAACAAAAAACAAAUGGUAUUGUUUUGAAUCCUUUUAUAGCAUGUUUUUUUCAUUUGCACUGCGGGAGCUUUAAAUAUUAGUAUGCGAGCACUAGCCAAAUUUAGGUUGAUCGAGACUAGAGGAGAGUUCAGAGAGACCCAGCUAAACUUACUGAGGAGGAGGCUCCAUGGCAAAUGAAGUUCCUUGUAGAGUGCCAGAAGACAAAGCAUGAUCUGGGAGAAAACUAAUUUGCUCAGAUGUCUUGAAUUGCUCUAACUUAAUUCUUCUAGUUUAGGAAAAGAUCUGAGCAGCACUACUCAGUGCAUUUGUAGUAUUACUGUCUACUUGACUGGGCAGUGUGUGAAUGGCAAGCAUGUGGAGAGUCACUGUAGUUAUUAAUAACAUAACUGAAAGCCAGAAUAAACAUGAUGUUUCAGGCUUUUAAACUAAUGUCAGUUCGAAUUUGGAUGGUGGACAGGCUACUAAGUGGAUUUUAAAUCCUCCUCUGUCUAGUCUGGUAGCUUUUUCAGGAGGUAAAAUACUGAACUGUGGAGACCUUGGGACUGCUGCAACAGAGCGACUCACAUAUUCCACAUCUGCUGGUUUCUGUCUGUAUGGACUAAAGAAGGUGGUGAAUUGAGACUGAGGUACAUAGAAGAAGCUGUACUGUGAAUGAGGGAUAAGAACAAUUGGGAUGUCAUAAGCAAAGGCCAAGGUGUGCAGCAGAGAUGGGUUGUGGGAUCACAGAGCUGAGUGGUGUUUAAUUUGUGAGCAGACCAGCAUGUCACUGUUGCACUGGGGGCUAUCGAUCAAGGCUCAAAGACAACUCCUGGGCAAUAUGUUACAGUCCCAGGGCAGAAAUAGUAGGGGAGCUGCAGGUCAGCAGAGAUUGUUGUGGUGACACCAGGGAAGAAUAGAGAAAGAAAGGGAGUUGCCAGUCAGGAAUGAGGGAUGCUGGCAGAGCUCAGUAUUUGGAGUAACUGGUUAGUGCUAAGUGCUUUCUUCUUCCUUGGAUGCCAUUAUAUGUCAGUUUUUCCUCACUGGGUUUCUUUUUUUUUUUUUUUUCCAUUUUCCUGUAAGAAUCUGAAUCCCCCUGAGCAGCAGGUGAUCCUGACUAUAAUGUAGAGGAAUAAGCUUGGAAAGUUUUAUCAAAAGAAAGUGGGUUAUAAAAACAACUCUCUCUGCACGGCUUGAACCUGUCAGCAUGACGCUGCCGACGAUGCAGCUGGAGGGGAAUGCGACAGGCUCCACAGCCCUGAGACAGAGCAGCCCACACAGCCUGCUAAUGUUAUGGGCCUGGCGUGGAUUUGGGGAAGGUGUGCCUGCUUUGCCAGGUGGGCCAUGCAUGGAAGUCAGAUGCUAAAGUAGCCGUAAGCCUAUAAUCAAAGUAAUCAUUUUGAAUCUCAGUUCUGCCAAGAGCUUGAGAGGGGUAAGGAAAGUGCCUGAAAGUCCUGCUGGACUCAUCUCCAAUGUACAGGGUGCUUUUGAGUGUCUGCUUUGGGACUUAUCUUUUGGCCCUUCACAAGAUGAAAGGACUCUUUGCAAGGAUAGUCCUCUCUGCACGUGGCUGCAGCAUGAAGUUGCGCUGGUGUCCAGGUGUGGGGCAGUCAAAUAAAGCUAGAAAGAAAGUGGCCAAUGGCUGGGGAAGUUUGUGUGAAGUGGCACAGGAUGCUGGUCUGCCCAGGAUGUCUUGCUGCUCGGCUCAGUGUCAGUAGCCCUAGAGCAGGGGUUGCUGGAAACAUUUCCAUCCAGACAAAUUGACUCUGUUUGUUCCUGUUGGCUUUGUUCCUUUCUCUUUUGUGUUCCAGAAAGGGAGAAUUUACCCUCUGAAAAUGCAGGGCUUACACGCAAUUUUCCUGGAGCUCAGUUAGUCAGCCAAAUCAGCAGGAGCUUUUUGGAAAUGACAGGAGCCAGCUGAGGUCAGUUUUGAUCUGGUAAGAACUUUACUAAACCAGUAUUGGUUGGGAGUCACUUUCAUUAGACCAAGUCAGUAGGAACUGCAGAGAGCUGGCUGAAAAGGUGUAAUUCCUGGUGAGGAGUUCUUGGAUGAAAAUCACUUCCUAGAUGAAGGAGUCAGGGCUAUGCUGAAUUAUUUGAGUCUUUGUUCUCAACCAGGUGAACUAAACUACUCUCUUUAAGUUUUUUUCCAUCUUUCCUUAUUGUAUACUAAGACUCUUUCCAAACAGACAUCAGUGGACCUAUAGCUUUUGCGUAAGGAGUAUCAGAAGUUAUUAUGCCUUUUGUGGGUGCCCAGAGGCCAGGCUGGAACCUUCUCUGCUCACAGCUGCUGUCUUAAUUCCACUGUGUGGUCCUCAGUCCAGUUGUAUGGAGGCUUCUCUUGAUCAUCAGAAAUACUGCAGGAAAGUAUUUUCUCUCACUGUCCUCAGAGCUGUCUAUUUGGAGAAGAGGUGUCAUAUCAUAGCAUGACACACGAAUGUAUGUAGUGCUAUCUUCUGGCAUAUUUGGCAUGCCAUGUCUCUAGCUGUGCAGUAGCGUAUGUGAGCAUGUCCUUGUGUCUAUCAGUUGAGGUAGCUCACCCUAUCUCCCAGGAUGAUUUUGCAUUCUGUUUUCUGGGUUGUUACAUCCUGAUGAUGGCAUAAAUUUUCUCAGUGCUUCCAGGCUGUCCUGCUUCUCAUGUGUCAUCUGAUCCAUGUUCUUAAGUGACUAGCUGGAGAUGCAGAUCUCAGCUCAAUUCUCUGCUUUGCCACAGACUUUCUGUGUGACCUUGACAAGUCAUGAGGUGAUUUUUCAAACAUGUUUUUCUUGUGAGCAAUUAAGGGGCACAUUUUUAGAAGCAGAAGUCAAACUCCAAGAGAAUAGCAAGAAUGAGCUUUUGUGUGCUGGCCAGUCAUGAAGUACAGAGUACCUACUUAUGAUCUGUGUGUUUUUAUUUGAGAAAUAAUAGCUUAAUUACCAUAUGAUCAGGAGCAUAGCUACGUUGGCAGAGACACCUAGGGGGAAUGUGGUCUGCGUAUCUAGAAGCCUUACUGCUGGACUGGGCAUUGUUUACUGCCUCCUUUUCCCAGCCUAGGGCCAUUUCCUUGUUUACUGAGUGAUAAAAAUGAGGACACUAUAGAGUGCAUCACUUUGGAGACAUCUGCAUGAGGGGUUUUGCUGGCACAGUUACAUCAGCGGUCCUCUUUGGCCGGAUGAGCUUUGCAGUGUGGGACAAGCCUUAGUCUUUGAGUUCCUCAGGGACUUAACUGGCUAUGGUGUAUAAUUGUGCCUCUCUUCCCUAUAGGUCUGUAUGAAGAUGGAACAUAUUAAAAUUAAGAGUUGCACAAGUUGUAGCUGAAGGGACCAUUGAAAAACUUUGAUAGAUACUUGGGAACAGGAGGUUCAGAAUGUUUGGUGAUGAAAAAGCAGUGUGAUGCCAGGGGCUGUAUUGCUGGCAGCAUAACAUAAACACCUUUGACUUAUAAGCUGGUGCCAAAUGAAGUUCUCAAAAAGCCACGGAAAGGCUACCUGGAAAAUCAACAGAUGUGUUACAUGCAAAUGAGCCAGCUUCCUUUUUGUAGUUCUCAAAAUGAAUCCUUCUUCUGCAAGGUGGUUUGGGCAUUUUAGGGAGUGGUAAGUGAACCACACCUCUUCUUCCAAAUUUUUCUCACUGACCCACUACUGGGCCUUAGUUCUGCCAAGGAAAAGCCUUUUAAAGUUCAGUGUCAACAGUCAAGUGUUGUCUGUUCUCUGAAAGGACAACAUGUAUCUGAGGGAUCUAAAAAUAUCAUUCAAUGUUGAGAACUAGAGAAUUUAUGUACUUUAUAGGGACCCAAAUUACAUAGAGCCAGUAAAAUACAAAAAUUAAUAACUUUGUCCGGUAAUUAAUUGCUAGUAGCAUGUGAGGACAGUUUUCAGGAAAGACUAGUUUUCAUUCUUGGUUUCCUGAAUUGAUAUAUGUCUAUCCACUUACCUGCCUACCUCUACUGGACAAGCACAAGAUUAUGUUGAAGAAUACAGACCCUGAGUUAGAUUUUGAGUUAGAUUCUUUGCAUGUUAGCUAUGCCAUGCACAGACAGUGGGGGGAGAUCAUUAGGAAGCCAAAUGCAAUUUACUUGUCACAGAGUGAGUUAUGGUAUGCUAUGGGCAGUUUUCUCUUAUGCUAUUGAUGGAUAAACUCCACGGACUCUUAAUCUAUGGAGAAUCAGAUAAUAAAACAGAAUUCUGUCAAGAGCUCUGCUCCAUUAAGGCAUCUCUCCCCCACCAGGAACCACUCCACUGUCCUUUUGCACUCACAAUCCUGACAAUAGUUAUGCAAAAUGGCAGGGAUGGAAAAAAGACUGAUAAGUGGUAUAUAGUUUCCUGGCCAUUUCUUCCAUCCCAUCUCACUCCCUCUGUUUUUAUAAAUGGCAGAGAGGGACUGGACUGUAUCAUACAAGUCAUGUUACUUUUUGUUGUUUUUUUUUUUAACAUUAUACACUGAAUUGUGGUAUAAACUGCAAAUGCUCUGUAAAGGGCUUUUUUGCCCUUCAAUACAAAGAUUUCAGUCUGUGCCCCUUGUACAGCUCUGCCUCUCUCUUCUAAUGGGAGGCCUCAGCAUGGGGAAACACAUCCUAAGAAAGGAGAACAACAGGGCGGGAAUUAGUCGGAUGCAGAGGAGAGCAGCUCGAUACUAACGGCCAAAUAGGCUCUGACAGCCUCACACCAACGGGCCACUCUCCUCUAUGGGGAGUUUAUGAGGCCUUGGCUUGUGUGGCCACCUCCACUUACGAAUGAAAAUCAAAACCAGAUUGAUGUCCCCCUCCCAACAGCAGCUGCCUGAUUUUUUGCAUAAAUCGUGCUCCCCGGCCCCUCUCCAGGGGAGCUCCAUAAAAUAAAUGGAUUCAUUACAUGCGGAUUUCCUUUUCCUUCUUCUCUGGAGAAACAAAGAGCCUAUUAGACGCAAUAUGGAAAUGCACAUAUGCAUGCACACACGUGCAGACAACAUGAAAAUGUGCACGUGCACAUGCAGCGUAUAAGCUCCCUCCCAUCUCAGUACCCAGACAGUGCCAUAAAAUACAUGGAAAAAUCCCUUCUCCUUUACAGCUCUGCCGAACACACAAGCCUGUAUUCAUUCGCACAGAUCUGCAGCUUAAAUUCUAAACUAAAAAGGACAGGAAAGCCCAGGGCAAGUUGCUCCCUCCAGAAGGUGGAGGACUGUGAGUGCACUGAGUGGAGGUUAUUUCCUUUUGCCAAAGACUCCCCCAGUGCCCAGGAGCUGUGUUUUUACCAAGAGCGUAAGGGCCCCAACCUCCGCAGAGCAGGGCUCACAACAGGCUGCACGCUUGGGACACCAUAACCGCAAGAGCUGGGAGGCUGCCAGCUUUCUCUCCAGCUGAAAUAGAGGAAGGUGCUUUGUGGCUGAGAAGAGGCAGAGGGAUGAAGGUAAGGAAAUGGCUGGGUGCCCUUCAUUCCUCUCAUCUCCAGGUGGCGGCAAUACUGGCACAGGAAAGAACUGGAAAACAUACCUUCCCCGGAAAGCUCUGCCUGUGUGAAGCAGCCACAGAUGCAAAUCUCACACACCUGUAUACCAGGGUGAGGGAUGCACUGGAAACCCCUUGCUGAUCAGGUUACAUGAAGUUAGGAGGUGCGAUCACCUUCAAAAUGAUGCCCUAAGACACUGGCCCCAGGACAAGACUGUAGUACGUGGGCACGUUCACAUUGUAUGCUAAACUUGGGUCACAGCCCGAGUUUGAGCACUAACUUGCUUCCCAUGCAAAUUGUGAACGCCCUAACCCUCAGGGCCAACUCCCUACAUCUUCAGUCGGAAAGCCUUUGGGGCUCUAAAAGCCCAGCCUCAACAGGGUGCUGUGCUAUAGAGCCAAAAUUACAGCAGCAGUGGGAAACUGGUUGUAACCUUUACCAGCUUCUGGCUACCACCUGACAAGGGAGCCAGGGAGGAAAGGGAGGAGUAAGAGGAGAGCUGUUUUCGCUCCCUGGCACCAAGGGAUUCUAUGCCCUGAGACAAGGGAGAGAGACUCAGAGCUUAGCUAGAGGGUGGGAGGCAAAUAUGGACAUUUGCUGGGACAAAGCUCAGGACCAUGCUAAGGAUAUGCCACUAGUGCCUGAGCUGGACUGAGUUUUGAUGUUCAAGGGAACAUCAAUCUCCUUUUUUAUCCAGAAUCCAUACUGCUGUGGAGCACUUUUUAGUCUUUUAGCCUUUUUAGAAAGCAGCGGUGUAAAUUUAGGAGGGCAAAGCAGCAGGCUGGAGGCAAGAGAGACCCAUUCAAAAUCAAGGGGUGGGGAGAGCAAUGUAGCCAGCAAAAGGACUUCAGAUACACAAUCCAAGACCUGAAUCUCUCAAAUCAUAAACAUCUUACACAGUAGUGUAAGAAGAUACUAGUGUUUUUCUCAGGCCUUCAAUAUUGGGCUUUAAGGUUACAGUCAGGUUCCACUGCUAGCUUUUCCUGGCAGCUGUGAAGAGUAGGAACUUUCCCUUAUAUGAUGUAAGUUUUCACGUAAUUGAGUGAGUCUGGGAGCUGGAGCUUUACAAAAAACGGUGACUCGAAUGGGAUGUCUGAUGAAAUCUAGGAAGUCAGCAGCAUGGGGGGAGGCAGACCCUGCAGAGGAGGGCUUCUGAAGAGCUGCUGAACAGAAGCCUUGCGUCUGAGAGAAGCUAGCAAGAACUGAGACAUGAGGGAGCUCAAAGGAGUUCACAUUGCCUUAAAUUCAGUAUUCUAAGUCCCAAAGUUUCAGACAUUUUAAGCUGGACCACAAAAAUUUGUGAUAACUCCAAAAUCAUGGGUUUUUGUAAAAGAAUAAAUACUGCAUUUUCUCUCUUUGCCUCUGAGCGUUAGAGUUGCCUUCAAAUAGCUUUUUGUAGUUUUUCCCUGCAGUGAAGAAAACAUGUUGCAUUAGUAUCACAAUUUUUGGUUUUUCCCACACACAAGAGGACUAGAAACUUGUCUUAUGCAGAUAACACUUUUCUCACCUAAUCAUCUGUCAUCAGGUUCUGGAGCUUUAAGGAAAAACAGGACCAGUAUAAUGAGAUCCACAACCCAUCACAAACACUGGCAGUGCUACUUCAAAUGGCUUCACUUCACUGAUGUCAGCAAGGACUUUGUAUACACAAAUAUAGAGAUUGCAAUCUUGAUCCUGGAAACACUGGAACCUUGAAAUGGUAAAACUGGGUGAGCCCUAAAAUCCAUUUAUUCCCGGAUCCUGUCUCUGAUUAUCUGAUGCUUUCUCUGAUGCCUUUGCCAGAUGCUUUAGGGGAAGGUGCAAGAACCUUGCAGCAGGCAGAUGUAACAUAAUCUGUUCAACACUUACCAUCACUUUCUGGUUCCUAUCUAUUAGAGAUGGGACUGGGACCAGGAAUAUAAAUUUUAGCAUCUUUUCUGAAAGCGUUGUUAGUGAUCAUUGUUAUGCUUUUUUUUUCUUCUCAUCCACAUCAUUGUCCAAUCUUUUUAGAAAAUUGUUUGCUUAAUUCUUGGCUUCUGCAGCUUCUUGUGUUCGGGACAGCUUAAUCCAAUUACAGAUGAGUGAAAGAGAUUAGUUACUUUGAUGAAGUUUGGACCAGUCACUUCUUCAUCUGAUUGAAUAUCUGUUCAUCCUUGUGUGUCCAAGGACAGCAGCAAGUCUUUCUCUCUGUGAGUAUUUUCAUCAGGAUGUCUUGUGGUUGCAAGAAUACAUGAUGCUAGGGAUUUGUGCCAGUGAGUCUCCCAUGUACUUCAUCUGCUUACUUUUACAGACCCUGCUUCUCCCCAGUGUUUUUCUCUCCCUACACAUGUUACCUGACAGCUGAGUGUUACCUGAGCACUCAGGUUGAACUGAGACAGUCUCUGGUCUGUUUCUUGCUGUGACGUUUUGCAUCAACAUCUGCUCCUCUUUAGACUAUAAGGUCUGUGGCAAGAAUGAGCUUCUGUGUAUGUAUGUUUGUGUCUGCAAAUCAUGAUUUCCAAUGGAACCUGUCUGUUCUGCUGUAGUGCAUACAAUGAUUAGCAAUAAUUCCUAAUUAAACACCUAAAUGAACCCUGCUCUGCCGUUCACAGGGUUGAGUUGAGAGCCCUUUCUUUGUGACCUUGGGCCCAGGCUUCGUGGUGGGGCUCAUCCCUGCAGCACAACAAGGCCAGUGGCUUGAAAGGAAUGCAGCACUCCUGAUUCUCCAUGGGAAAGCAGAAGGCACACUAUUCUCUCUAGAAACAAUCCUGUCUCUGGUCUCCCUCCUUUGCCCUUAUCUCCAAGGAGAUUUGUAGGCAAAUAGGAUCAAAGGCUCAGAGAUGCGAGAUAGACUGCCUGAAUAUUCACUGGCAGGCAGGGAUAGGUGGUGCACUUCAAGCAACCCAUCCUCAGCUCACAAGUGAGCAAGGAGGAAGGAUAGAGGCAGGGGAUCAAGCCCUGACCCUUCUCUGACAGUCACUAUUUUUUCUUACACUUGGGAGGCACUUGCUGCAAUUUCUGGAACCAGUACCUCCCCUCUGAAUGGAAAAUCCAGCUGGAGAUGUGCCUGUGAUAUCUGACACUUACAAUUCACGGUAUGUUGGUUGCUUCUGCAAAUUGGAUUGGGAGCACAAACAUCCCCUCAUGACUUGCCAGCCACGUGUGGAGUUCAGUAGUCACACUGUGUGUGGGCUUCUUGGAGAGGAGAAAACUUUCCAAGCAGCAAUGGGCUGUGAUGAGGGUGAGAAGUGGGUGCAAGUAGGGGUGAUGACUCCCCAGUUUGGAUCUGAGCAAAGAGGCAGGUGAGGUUUGAUAACUUGCAUAUUUGCUCAGACGCAGGAGCUGGUGGGGAUUUGUAGGUGAGGAGCUGAGCAGCUGGCAAAGGAGAUGAUCUAAUGGAAAGAGGAAGGAAGAUUUUGUCUCUGCUUGUGUGUGGCUUUUUUGGCUUACUGUUUUUGGCAGUCUGCCUCCAGGGACUGGAACUGCAGAGUUCAGCCUGGGCUUCCUCCUGGAGAAUAGCUUGUGGCUUUGAUCAACCACAGCUAUGUUCCUCCAUCCCUGCCUGCUCCCUGAGCAUGGAGUUUGGCUAUUCAGACAAGUGGCAGCUCGCCACGGGCCCUGCUGCUGUGACAGCCCUGCCAGAGCCAGGACUUGCUCUCCAGGCAAAGAGAAAGAUGCUGGUAGGCCCAAUUGCCUCUGUUGUGUGAUGGGUUUUCAGCUUCAGUAUAUCAGCUCUGCUGCCCAGACCACCCUUCAAGUCCCCAUGUAGCAGGAAAGGGCCAAAGGAGCCUUGGAGACAGCAGUGUCCUGGCUCUCAAGGGAGACCAGGCAAGUUUGUAGGGGAAGGACAGAGACGGAAAUGACCAAGGCAGUUGGAGGGACCAUGCUGCAUCUGCCAGCCUCUGUCUUCUAUGCCUGGCCUACUGAAUGGAGCAGAAGGCUCCUCCUGUGUGUUUGUCAUGUCCUGGCAAAUUAUCUGUGUGUAGUCACUCCUUCCUCAACAGCUGGGGUGUACAGCAAUAAAAUCUGUCUGCAUUUCAGACAGUGCUGUUUUCAGGUUCAUCUAUUCCCUGCUCUAGCUGGUGAUCCCUGGAGAAGGAUAUAGUAAUUAUGGGAGAGUAAUAUUCAGGCUGCCCUUCACACCCACCACAUACACUAUGCCAUGGGUUAGCUGAUCUCAGGAAUGCACGUUGAAAACCAGCCCCAGGUUGUCUUCUUUGGGCUGCAGCACCCAUCACUGUGAUACUUGGACACCACUCAGAUUGUUGAAAGCAUGAAAUCUCAAAGCUUAGAGUUCUUACUGGCCUCUGGAUAGGCCCACUGGCCCAGCCUGCAUCCAGACACAAAACCCUGUCUAUCCUCUGAUUUGCAGACAGGAUGUUUUUUCCCAGUAGUUUGAAGGUAGACUCAGGUCUGGCAGUCUGCACAGCCUACUAAAAAGCAGUCUUAUAAAAUGUGAGGUAGGAAGCAAAACUCAGCACCACAAGAGAAAGAGGAGGAAACCACCAAUUAGGAACAGCUCCUGAGGGGAUGCUUUUUUAGGAGCCAGGAGGCACUCUACCAACAGGGCUUUUGGAGCAGGAUGGGGCUGGCUGGGGAGGGCAGAGCCAGGGGUACCUGACUUGCACAGAGCCUUUCUGCACUCAGGAGGGCUGGUCCUGCAGCCCAGCAGCUGCUGCACCUGAAGCAAAGCAGCAAGAGAUUGCAUCCUGGCUGGGCGAGGACUAGCACCCAGGAGUAGGGAGGAAGAGCAGGAGGAGCACCGGAAGGUACAGCCCUCCUUAGCCUAUGGCAACCAGCUGGCAAUGAGGAAUUCCUUCCUCCAGAAAUCAGCUUUACCACAGAGUAGCUGGGAGUAGCUUUCAAAGCUCUCCUGAUAGCCAGGUUUCCCACACAAUGGCAAAUGUGUGCCUGACCGCAGGGCAGCUGCAGGCAGGCAGAGGUUCUGUGGCCCUGCAGAGAGUAGAGAGAGGUCCUCUUGUGCAAAACUAACCCACAGCUGGUGUCCAGCUCCAGAGGUGGCCUCUUACACCAUCAGAUGUAGGUUGGUAGAGAAAAAAGACACAAGGUCUGAGCUUUGUAGUCACUGCAUCCUUCCUACAGUUUGGUAAAUGCCAGGGGAUUAUUGUUUAGGUCUUGGCCUGUUGGGCUGUUGCAGCUGACUGGGAGCCAAGAUUAUUGUUGGUGGUGUCCGAGUGUGGUUGGUGGUGGGGGCACACUCCUGAUAAGGAGUGUUGAGACACUGAGGACUGAACGACCAGGAUGUGUCUUGUUGCCCAUGCGAUUUCUCCUGGAGACGAGUGGGUGUGCAGUGUGGCUUUUAUUUGCUCCAGUCUAUCUUGUUUCUCAGUUUUCCUGGAGAUGACAGCUUCUUACCAGCUUAGGCAAUGGGGUCUGCGGGGACAUUGAGGUAAAAUACUUGCUUAGGGUCACUGGGUGCUGCCUACAGGAACUGUCCAUGGCCUGUGAGGAGAAGGGCCUCCAGCGGGCAGCCUAAAGUGCCUGAAAUCCCAUCUGCUUUUUGGGGUGCUGGUGGAAACUUCGUAGGAGAUUUAGGUCCCACUCUUUUUUCAGCAAUGAGGUGGCUCAUCAGCUGGCUUCCCUGACAGUUUUUAGUAUUGCCUGUGGUCACCAUUUACUACCCUGUAGGGUUUCAGUGCUUUGCUUCAGCUCUUUAACAACUGGAUCUGUGCUUUGGGAGUGGCUCAGCUGUCCUCACCAAUCCCCCUGAGUGAAAGGACAUAUAAGCAGUGCUUCACGUCACAUCUGCCAGGCACAGGUCACUGCAGUGGCCACCCAGAGCACCAUGGGCAGUGUGACACAAAGUAUUUUGAAGAUGCUGUAAGUGAGACCUGCUUAAAUAUUUGCUUUGAUUGAAGCAGGGACUGAGAUGUGAGACUGGGACACUCAGUCUUUAGUGUCCCAGACAUUUUCCCCAUCCUGAAAGUUUCUGUGUGGAGGUGCUCUCCCUCUUCCCAAGGAGCUAUUUCAUGUUGUGUAAGGAUUCGGUGCUCAUUAGGUGAGUGAUUUGAAUACAGGCCUCAUCCUGUCAGAGGAAUCACAGCAGUGUAAUGAAUCAGUCUCUCUGGUCCAUUUGAUGCAGACUAUGAAUCUGGGUCUCCCACAUCCUUCUUGCAAACCUAACCUUGACUCUUUUUCUGGUCUGUCAGCCCUGAUAAAUUUCCACAAAGAGGUUAAUUUCCAGUAAAUUUUUUUUCAAUUAAAAAGCUAACAACAAAAUUUGCUGAGAAAUGUCAGGUAAGAUCUAGUCCAGACCUAGUCCAGACAUGUCAGCCUUUUGCCCAGGAAAGAAUUUGUACCAGAAAUUAUCUUGCACUGAUGAAUCUCAUAGAUGUGUUGCAGAGUUGCCAAUAAAUGUUUUGCCUACUAGCACAAGCAAGUGAAAAAAGGAAACCAAAAGGGAGCUUUAGUUUGACACACCAGGUAACAGAAAUCAGGCUGUGUAAUAUUUUCUGCCUGACUACCCUUACCUAAUAUGAGCAGCAUGGUGAAAAGGGAAGCAAGAAGCGGGUAGAAGUUAGAAAGAUAUCUUCUGAGUCAUUGUGGAGUGAACAGGAAGUCCUGAUGAUUCAAGAUUUGGCACUUUCCCUUGCUGAACCCAAUGGCACAUCCUAGUGCCAGGAGAAACUAGGCUGUAGGAAGUGCAAUCUUUUGGCUGAGAUAACAGACCUGUGAUUUUCCUCUUCAUCGAUAGGGAGUCCACUGACAUUUUUCAUGAGAAAGUAAAGCUCUGUUUAUAGUAUCAGGACUGAGACUGUGCGUGGAAGUCCUCAGCAUCUCACUUUCCAAAAUGCUCUGAAAGCUCUCCUCAUUUCAAACCCAUCUUCCUCAGUGAUAGUGUGCACAUACAUCAACUUGUUAGUCUAUUUGAGGAGCUAGUUAUCUUACUCAUUAGAACAAGUUAUGUUUAUUCUUUUUAAUAUGUUACUUAUAGCAUUUAUUUCAUUUAUUUUUCUCUAUCUUUGAAGUGCUGAGAUGCACAGCCACUCUUAUUGACUCUUUGUGGGCAGCGCUGUUGUUAGGUGUGUGUAUAUUUUGCUCCAGAUAUCUGUGCUCUUCUAACUUCCUUUUGGAAAGCUGCAUUUGUGGGAGAAAGGUUCCUGUGGGCCCUGGUCUGCUUUAUGGAUGCUGUGGACCAGCAUGGGAUGUGAUGAUGUUAAUUAAUAAUGGCAACCAUUAUUCUUUCUCUGCUGGUCAUUUUCGGAGCAGUGCUCUGCAUUGUGCUUCUCCAGCUGUCUCUCCUCCUCUCUCUUUCUUCUCUGCCCAUUCUUUGGCAUGUGCCUGUAUGUCUCACUUGCCCACUGUCCAGGUACCUUUGGGGAAGCACAGCUGUGUCGACAUCUAAAAUCCUGCUGUGAAUUGUGGAAAGUAUCCCGGCAGUGAUGAAAACCUUGCAUUUCAUAGCCAACUCAACAAAAAGGAAGGGCUGUGCAUGGAUGACUAAUUUAAUUUCCCUUUGCCUAUAGCAGAAUCUGCUAAAGGAUUUGCAGUUGGUUUCCCCUUUAGCCAGGGUGUCUUGCUGUGGACCUGUUGAAAUUGCAUACGUGGCAGCAGUCACAGUUGUUGCACUGGUGAGCUAAAGAGGGCACUUGAAGCUUUUGAGCAGCAAAGGUAGACUCCUGAGAAAGAAUUAACAUAUGGAAACCAUGAAGACCAUCCCCAGCCUGCUGGCUGUUGUGGGCCUCAUCCCCAUUGCCUCUGCCAAGCCCAGCCAUAGGAAUGAUGUCAGUGAGUCGCUCUGUGGGGUUCUGGAGAGCAGUGAAAUGUGCCCAGUGAAGUCAGUGAUGACAUUUCCAGUCCUGGAGGGUUACACGACCAUAAGUUGCCCCCACGCCUGUUCUAUUGGAUGCAGAUCUGGAAGCAGAGCCCUUCAGCUCCUUGAAUCCAACUCAUUGUAUCUGGGAACAGAGCCAAGGGGGGAUGGAGGAGACUUCAACUGGUGUCAACCACAGCUGCAUGUCUGCUUAGCAACACAGGUUUUUGUAAAUACAUUCUCCAUGGCUCUGCAACCUCUGCUGAUUUUUUUUGCUGAACGAAGAGGCCUAUGUGGGAGCUGGGGCCACCCCUAGAACCACUGACCCAUUGUGGACAAGAAAAUUUUGGAAAUGCUAAAUCUAUCAGGUACUGGGCACUACCAGCCAUCUCCCAGGUGCUGCUCCUCAUGACUGAACAGCAGUGGUUGCUCUGGGUCCUGCAGCAAGAAAGGCAACAAGCCUCUGCUCAUCUUCCUAAGCAGCUGCCCAGUGUCUGGUGCACUCUGGCUGCAUCUGCUGCAAUGAGUAAAUGUCAAAUGGUGAAGGCUUUAAGAUCAGACAAAGCUUUGAGGAGAAAAAACCCUUACAUUAGACACGUUACUGCAGGUUCAGUUUGGGUCAAAGACUUCCUCCAUCCUUCUGAGAUGUACCUGAUGCCAGAUCCACAUGGCAUUGAGCUGGGCAUGACCUGAGGACACUGUGUCUAUGUUUUGAAGGGGCAACGUGUAUGGAUGAAGUCAGCCACACUUUUUGCUUUAUCCCUAGGUGCCUCCUCAGCCCCCGCUGGGUUGAGUGGAACAAAAGCUCUUCCAAAUACUGAUGCCAAAUAACCAGAGCAGGACUCCAGAGCUCCCCUUCCAGCUCUAGGAGACGAAUUGACCUAAUGCAUGAAGCAGGUUCCUGAGAAGCAGGACUGCUGAAAUCAUGUUGUAGCAGUGGGAGGGGUUGAGGUUAAGUGGCCAGGAAAGGGAACAAGGAGCCAGGAUUCAUAGACUGUAGCUCUAUCCAUAAUGGAGAGUCUCUUUCUGAUUGUGGCGGCAGAGAACUUGGGUCAGGACUUAUCAGUAUUAUGGACAAGCCACCCAUAAGCUUUGUUUGCCUUUGAUUCCGGUCUAGGUUCAUUCAACUUUUGUCUGAGGCAAGAUCUGAACUCACUCCUUUCCUUUGAAAUGGUUUUCUGUUAUCGGUGAAAAGGAGAAAAAAAAUGACUUAAUCGUCUUGCUGAGUAAACAGUUCCCACUCCUUCCUCAGAAAACAAAAGCUGAAGAUUCAUUUUCCUCAGAACCCAUGGCAGAUGAAUCAGAAAGCUGGGCUUUUUGUGCGUGUGUCUGAGCUGGGCUGACAAGAACAAGUGAGCCAAAUGGGGAUGACAGAAAUGGUGUCAGAAGCUGGUACCUCUGUUCACUGGGAAAGUGCUGGACGUGAACACGGCUGAGGAGGAGGGACAUCUCCAGCUCUGGGCCUCUGGAUAGUUCAGCUGUUGAGUCAGAUGGGUCUGGGGCUUUACAAAACAGUGAGGGGGCAAGGGUGAGCAAAAAGCCAAGAGCGUGCGUGUGCGAGAAAGAUGUCUCACUCCUGGCAGUGGGCCAAAGGAGUGGUUACUGCAGCCCUUGAGACACGCUUGCAAACACAUAUGCUGGCUUGCACACGUGUGCUCUUGCUCACACACACGUACCACUAACAGCAUAUGGAGGCUGCUCCCAGCGGCCAGCCCUGCUUCACACUGGUCCCUGUUAAUGACCAACAUCUGGCGAGGAAGCUGGGGUGGAGAAACAGCUGGGGCCAGUGAGCCCUUUCCCUGGCGAGGGGUGAAGGGGAGGGCUGAGGGCUGGGCUGGGCUCCACUUCUCUAAAAGCAGCCUGCAAACACUCACUCCUGCUUCCUCUGUGGAGAGCAGAGGUUGAGCAGCUCUCUGCUUUCAUGUUUUGUGUGUUAAAGAGCCACUAAAAAACAAUUGUGUGAAACCAAAGGUCUGUGGCUGCACCAGGCCAUAAUAGCCAGGGCAGGUUUUGCCAGCCCAGACUGCUUUUGCCAAGAGGUCUUAGCUUUGAUGCAGAGUAUGGGAGCACAGAUAUCCUCAAUAUAUGUUGUUAGGAAGGAUUCAUUAUACUGAUAAAAGGAUUUUUCAAAAUUAAUAUGGGCUGUUAACAGAUUUGGGUUUGUCUGACCUUCCCGUUGGCAAAACUGGAGAGGAAACAGCAUCUAUCUCAUGGUCCUGCAGCAGCCCUCUCUGCAGAAAAACAGUGGCGUUUUGGCCCCCGGGGAGGAUCAUUCACUGGUGUGAACUGGUGGGGGAUGCUGACCCUGCUAGAGGGUGUGUGGGUUUGCCCUGCUGCUGCCUGAGUUUGUCCUGCGCCUUGUGUGCUCCCCAAGGUCUGAUGAUAACUGAGGUGAAGUAAAAAAUGCACUGUUAGGGAAAUAUGGGGAAACUUUGCAUUUUUUAAAUUACAGCUGUUCUUCAUCUGGGAGGACUCUGCUGCCAAGCUGGGUGGUUGCCCCGUCCCAGCUUCUUAACAGCUGCACCCCAUCUCACCCUUGGAAUUCAUCUGCAGGGGCCCAAGGUGGCGAUUGCUCACAUCUUGCCCAGUCUGGAGAAUCCCCAUCCUCCCCAGUGGAGCUCUGGGCAGUGGAAAACCUCCCCAGUGUGUCAGCCUGCCUGAGCCUGGACUGUGGCUACCCUGAGACAGCUCUUAGGAAACAUACCAAAGCCUUUCUGGGCUUCAGAGAGGUGAUCUUAUCCAGCUCUGCUGUUAUCAUUGCCUCCUCCUUGGGAGUAUAGGAGAGCUGUCAGAGGUGAGAAGAGAGAGAUGGGGGGUAUGGAACGGUAAAACAAAGGGAAUAGAUCUUUUACAAAUAAAGAGCAAAUUUUUGUGGUUGUCAUCUCUGCCUGUCCAGCAUGGGACUCCUGAGGAAUGAGGCCUCGUUUCCUGUAGCUGAGCAUGCCUGUGCUUCCCACUGGCUGCACAUGCUGGAAGACACCCUGCCUGACAUGCCACUGAGCUGAGGGUCGGGGGGGAAUGAUGGGGCAGUCAGGACUGGGAAUGGUGCACCCUGGGGACACACUCCACAGAGUGUGGUGCUGGGCCUGGGGAAUUGAGAGCCUUACCAGCAUCCUUCCCCCUCUCAUCAUCUCCCCACCAUUCGCCCUGCCUGUAAGACACUGGCUGGCAAGGGCUGAAGUGAACAUCAGAGUAUCUUUUGCCCCAGCAAUGUCCUCAAACCAGAGCUCUCCUCCAAGUGGGGUCAGUGAGGCCAGACUCUGCCCUGGAUCUCUGGCUUCCAGGUUGAGUGUGAGACCACAGAGGAAGGCUGAGGUUGGAGUGUGGCCAUGUAUCUAAUUACUCUCCCAGAUGUGUGUAAGCAUGGUACACCAUCACCGGACAUAGUCCACACGUCCCCACUUGCUCAACACUGAGUCACAACAGACUGGAAAAAUACAGCCCACUCUGAUGCUCCAAUAGAGAUGUAAGUGCUCUCUAGUAAUACAUGAGUAUUGUACGUGAGCAGCCAGUUGGGACAGUCGGUAUCAGACAUUUCCAGCUUGAAGACUGGGAUGUUUACUGUAUGACUGAAUUCAGUUCAACAGGGAAUGACUCAGGGGAGACUUUUAUGACAUACUCAAGGCUGUUUUGGGAUGAUGCUCAUCAAGUUCUGAGAACACCAUCUUGACCUGCCCCUUUCUUCAAGCCUGUCAGACAAGUGUUGGGCAAUUAAAAUUCUAAAUCAUAGGUAUUGAGGAAACAAGGGAAAUCCUGUUUUAUCAUGAGACAUUUCUGCUAAGAGGGAAGGAAUUCAUCCUGGUGGAUGUUUGGGAGGAAGCACUCAUUGGAGUUGAUCUGUCUGGGGCACCAUGAUGAGAUAGUGAGUUGGUGAUCAGGAAAAAGGCAAUGCCUCACCACCAUCCUCCCUUCUCACUGAAUAGUAUCCUAUGUGGUGGCAUCUGGACACAAAGUCCUGCUGAGGGGAAUCCACAGAGGACCAGCCAGCUCCUGUCUCAAAGGCUGGGAGGGGGCACUGGCUCCUCCCUCAGAGCUGGAAGAAUAGCACAUACAGAACACCUGGGCUGACAAUUCCUCUCCCCCUGGGAGGCUCUGGAUGCUGCCAGUGCUGCUAGCUGUGCACGGCUGGGUCACAGAUGUGUUGCUGUUGGGCACACGCAUAACAUGUCCACGUCUUUGCUAGUGGGCUCUGGAGAGAGGCAAGAAACUGGAUAUUCCUGGGCUCCAUGGCCUUUUCUUCAAAGGCCUAUCUGUUGAAGGAAUCAGUGCUGACCCAGCCAUGGGAUCAGCAGGAGCGUUCUUUAAACCUUUACAUGUCACCCCUUUGCACUUGCAACUUAAGGCCUUAAGAGCGCUACAGCAAGGGGAAGAUGGUCUGAUCUCCUGUCUUGUUGGACUGGAAGGACUGGAGAGGCAGAGCCUCUGCCUGGUGAAGGAAUGGAUUCCUGUCAUAAUCAACUGGUGGAAACCCAUUCUGUAGCCCGCGGCAUUUACACAGAGUAGUUAGGAGGCUGCGGGGUGUUGCUGAGAUAUAGUAAGUACUGUGACUGAGGCUGCUGCAUCACUGUUCUCUUCCCUUGGCCUUUCACAGGCAGAGGAGACAAGGCAAGAGUUCAGUGAAAGGGGAGGGAGCUAGGUGGACAUCCUGACAAACCCUUGAUGGCACUGAGCUGCCGUGCAGUUGGAGCUACGAGUAGUUUAGUGCUUCUCUGUGUCCCUUUGAGAUGGACCAUGGUAACCCUCUGGCUCUGCACCUCUGACCAGCUUGAUCACACGUGCCAAUUGUUUGUCUUCAACCAGCAUGUUCUACCAGAUGCUGCUUUUUCCUUGCCACUGAUUCUUGUCUCUUACUGUUUAGAUCCAUCCACCGCCAAAAGCAGGUCAUAGAAUAAUAGAAUGAUAGAUUCAUGGAAUGGUUCAGGUUGGAAGAGACCUUAAAGAUCAUCUAGUUCCAACCCCACUGCCAUGGGCAGGGACAACUUGCUCAGAGCUCCAUCCAACCUGGCCUUUGACACUUCCAGGGAUGGGGAUGCUGAGUCUAUGUGAGCUGCAUGAAACUCCAGUGCAGCUGAGCGCUUCAGUAUAAGGUCUAGGGAAGACCUCCAGCUGGAAAGCACUGCAAGGCAGACCCACAGGGCAGUUUGGCAUCUAAACUGCUGUUGAAACUAACUGACUUGUCUCUGAGGUAAAGCACUGGGGUAUCUGGUCUGCUCAGAUCUGCGACUGGAGGACAAGACCAGCUAAGAUUCUUUCAGAGAAAUGGUGGAAGACAAAAAGUGUAGGAGAGAGUCCGAAGAGUUGGCACUCAAACUCAAAAACCUUAUGUGAGAGCAUAGCAAGAAACAUCUUUCCAGGUCAGCUCCUGACCCUUCUGUGUAAGGGCUUUCUAUGAUUUGCCACGCUGCUAAGUUGCUGACCAGUGGGUUGCUGUCUCAAAGGUGAAUUUUACUGUAGUCUCAAACAAUAUGUGAAGUGAUCAGUGUAAAAUUUCUCUCUUCCUCAGGACUGUGAGGAAGGACUUCAUCUUGUGGGGCUGUGGUCACAGGUCUGAGGUUUUGCUGGCUGUAUAAGCCACCAGCAAGAAUAAGCCCCCGAGUGAGAUCCAUCCUCUGUGGGAUCCAGGGACUGACCUGACUGGUGUGUUUUGUCCACUGAUAUCCAGGUCUAUCCUGAGCAUCUGGACCCAGUGAGUGAUAAGUGAGAGAACAGGAGCCUCAGAAAUGUGAGAGGGGAAAAAAAAUGUGGAAGGAGGCAUGGAUUGAGAUCAGGCUGCAGAGCGCUUCCAAGUAUGAACAAACCUAAAUGAAGACAGCUGGCAGAGGCUCUUGUCAUCUAAUUCCUUCCAGAUGUGCAGUCAUAUGCUGCAGUUUCUGACUAAUGACAUCCCUGAGGAAAGCCCUGGGGAUGCUGCAGUGAUGGGGUGGGCGAGGGGCAUGCCAGGAACCUGUUGGUGGGCCGAUAGCACUGACUCCCCAGAAGCUGCUGCUUGGAGACCCUGGGGAGGGACCCUCUGCUCUCCCUCUCUUCCCCUUGAGAUCAGCAGGGCUCAGCAGGUGGCACGGGGCUGACUCUGCCAUGCUUGGGCACCCAGGCAGCUCUCCACAGGUGGGUAAAGCUACUUAAUCCAAUAGCAGUGUCCUGCAGAGAUACUUUAUGGCCUGGAAGCCAGAAAUCCACACUUAGUAGGGUUGUGCUGGAGCAAAUUAGUGAUGUUUUCUGAUAAUGAAUUGAGGUUGAAGCGUUUAUGCUGCUUCCCACUUGGGAGCCCAUUCAGAUCUCCCUGCGUGAUGCCUCUCUCUGCCAGAGAGAUGUCUGAGAAAUCAGUCUGGGUGGGAAGAUUUGUAAAUCCUGCUGUGUCCCCAUGAAAUAUCUGCCCUGUGUGUCCCCAUUUUAUGUUCCUGCACAGCCUGGGUUGUAUUAGAGCUGUGCACAUUCUCCAACGGGUUUAGUUUCCUCAUCCCCUGUGGGGGAGACCAUGCUAGCUUUAUCAGCUGGGGUAUAGGAGACACUCUGGCUUGGAUAUGGGUCAGGAACUGGGGAGGACCAGCUCUUCUGGCUCCAGGAGGGAGAUAAUGUCUUCCCAGAGUAUUGCCUCCUUCACAGUGUCUUUCAGAAACUGCAAUCCGCCUGGGUUCCAUCUUGAUGCUUAGGAAGAGGAAUUAUUUUGGGUCUUCCCGUGGUCCCUGUUCUCUCCCUCUUCCUCUCCACACCUUUGUAAUUAACCUCUGAACCCUGGCUAAUCCCAGGAUUAGCAUGUCAUGGGCUAUUGGUUAGGUCUCCCACCACCCCUUCUGUGUCCCAGCAUCCCUGACAAACUUGCAGGGGGGUCCGGAAAGCCAGGUUGCCCCUGAGGAGGGAGGAAGCUUGUAAUGGAUGUGCGAUGUCAGGAGCCUGGCGGGUGGUGAGAGAUAAUCCGGGGGUCACCUGUGGCUGAUAAUGAUCUCCUGAAGCCUGGGAGCAGGGUGGAGGGGCACAAAGAGCCUGAGGGGCUGUGGCAGCCACUUCAGCCUCCCUACCUUGGCCCCUUCUGCCAGGCAGAGUGGGAUGCAGAGGAAAGGAGAAUCCUGGUGGGCUUUCAGUCGAGGUGUAAAUAUCUCCUCUGCCUGCAGGUUAAGGCAAAGGAUUGGCUUGUGUCUUUUGGUGCAGCAUCUCCUUCAGGACUUAGUUAUGCAUGUGCUUUCCCUCGGGAGGGUAUCCUUGGGCAAAUGGAGAACUUGUUCAUGGGGUUUAUUCAAUAUCAGUGCUUGAGAUGCACUCCAGAUUGGUGGGUGAACUCUCUGCUCCCCUCUCAGCCUUCUUCUGCCUUACCUAUGUCUCCCUGGGGGCACUUCACAGCUCCCAGAUGACUGAUUUUCCAGGAGAGCCUCAGAGAAAUUCACGUUUAACCUAGCAGAGGCAGUGCAGUGACCUCUGUCACUCCACUUCUCCUUCAAGAUGAAAACUCCCAGCCCUGAUGAACCAUGCAGCAACACACUCAAUUUAGCCACAAGAACUGCUUUUUACGUCCAAGACAUCCAGCUGUGUAAUGGACCACACGGUGGAAAUAACAGAAGUAGCAAUGGACUCAUGCUGGGGUUGGCCCAAAGAAAAACAGAGACUGCAAGGGAAAACCUCAUAGAUAGUGGUCAAGACAUGAAGAAAGGACGAGGUGCCAGUUUCCCUUAGCUGAGGUGUUUGUGGCUUUCAGUGCCUCUUAACUCCCUAAAUGCCUAUGCCCUCUCCUUUUGGUGUAACUCCAUGAGCUUCUCUAGGACACCCCUGGGCCGGGGAGAAGGAUGAGCCCAGACACUGGGGCAAUUCCUUGCCACAGUGGUAAGGUGCUGGGAGCUGAGCCUGGUGGGUGCUGCCUGAAGGGGAACAAACUCCUGGGAAGGCACCUGGGUUUGCAGUGGUGUGGGAUGCAGGUUUCCUUUCACCCCGGGGCA
Molecule: long non-coding RNA, 29405 nt
Organism: Pseudopipra pipra
Lineage: Eukaryota; Metazoa; Chordata; Aves; Passeriformes; Pipridae
Exons: 3
Source: RefSeq, a predicted model, not a curated record